RNAcentral lists this ribosomal RNA (467 nucleotides) under uncultured bacterium. Its description in RNAcentral is "partial 16S ribosomal RNA". It matches the Rfam family "Bacterial small subunit ribosomal RNA", at positions 28 to 507 of the family's 1533-position model. The record is from RNAcentral.
GACGAACGCUGGCGGCGUGCUUAACACAUGCAAGUCGAACGGAAAGGCCUCUUUCGGGGGGUACUCGAGUGGCGAACGGGUGAGUAACACGUGAGUAACCUGCCCUUGACUUUGGGAUAACUUCAGGAAACUGGGGCUAAUACCGGAUAGGAGCUCCUGCUGCAUGGUGGGGGUUGGAAAGUUUCGGCGGUUGGGGAUGGACUCGCGGCUUAUCCGCUUGUUGGUGGGGUAGUGGCUUACCAAGGCCUUGACGGGUAGCCGGACUGUGGGGGUGACCGGCCGCAUUGGGACUGAGAUACGGCCCAGACGCCUACGGGAGGCAGCAGGGGGGAAUAUUGCACAAUGGGUGGAAGCCUGAUGCAGCAACGCCGUGUGCGGGAUGACGGCCUUCGGGUUGUAAACCGCUUUCGCUCAUGACGAAGCUUUGUGUGACGGUAGUGGGUAAAGAAGCACCGGCUAACUACGUG